GUCUGAUGUGAAAGCCCACGGCUCAACCGCGGAGGGGCAUUGGAAACUGGCAAACUUGAGUGCAGAAGAGGAAAGUGGAAUUCCAUGUGUAGCGGUGAAAUGCGCAGAGAUAUGGAGGAACACCAGUGGCGAAGGCGACUUUCUGGUCUGUAACUGACGCUGAUGUGCGAAAGCGUGGGGAUCAAACAGGAUUAGAUACCCUGGUAGUCCACGCCGUAAACGAUGAGUGCUAAGUGUUAGGGGGUUUCCGCCCCUUAGUGCUGCAGCUAACGCAUUAAGCACUCCGCCUGGGGAGUACGACCGCAAGGUUGAAACUCAAAGGAAUUGACGGGGACCCCACAAGCGGUGGAGCAUGUGGUUUAAUUCGAAGCAACGCGAAGAACCUUACCAAAUCUUGACAUCCUUUGACCACUCUACAGAUAGAGCUUUCCCCUUCGGGGGACUAAGUGACAGGUGGUGCAUGG
This 464-nucleotide ribosomal RNA is filed under the name Staphylococcus gallinarum. RNAcentral describes it as "bacterial SSU rRNA". It matches the Rfam family "Bacterial small subunit ribosomal RNA", at positions 587 to 1048 of the family's 1533-position model. The record is from RNAcentral. Lineage: Bacteria; Bacillati; Bacillota; Bacilli; Caryophanales; Staphylococcaceae.